ACGAAAAUUGCCUAGUGGACAUGGCAUCUGCCCGGUAAGCGGAAGGUCGUGGGUUCGAUUCCCGCCCCUGGACACUUUUAUU
This is a non-coding RNA of Cordylochernes scorpioides, 82 nucleotides long. NCBI's taxonomy places the organism in Eukaryota, Metazoa, Arthropoda, Arachnida, Pseudoscorpiones, Chernetidae. The record is from the annotation of a GenBank genome assembly.